RNAcentral lists this unclassified non-coding RNA (1632 nucleotides) under uncultured fungus. RNAcentral describes it as "sequence contains 18S rRNA gene, ITS1, 5.8S rRNA gene, ITS2, 28S rRNA gene". The stretch from base 600 to 1632 matches the Rfam family "Eukaryotic large subunit ribosomal RNA", at positions 1 to 961 of the family's 3401-position model. The record is from RNAcentral. Lineage: Eukaryota; Fungi.
GGUUGGAUCAUUAACAAAUUGAAAGAAUUUGCUGAAAAGCACUUUCUCAACAUUAUGUGAAUCGUUUAUUGUCUCUUGGUGGGUUGUUCAAUUUCUAGGUCUCUUUUGAACUAGAAAACGCCGCCAAUUUUUUAAAACUUUUUAUGAAUUUAUUAAAAUCGUCUUGAAUUUAAAUUAUAUUCUAAUUUAAACAACUUUUGACAACGGAUCUCUAGGCUCUCGCAACGAUGAAGAACGCAGCGAAAUGCGAUAAGUAAUGUGAAUUGCAGAAUUCCGUGAAUCAUUAAAUCUUUGAACGCACAUUGCGCUCGUUGGUAUUCCGAUGAGCAUGUCUGUUUGAGAAUCAGUUUAAUUAUCAUCCCUUUUAUUCAAUUAAUUUUGAAUAAAUCGUGAUGGAUUUGGAUGUUUUUAUUGCUUUUAUUGGCGAUUCAUCUUUAUACUAUUUGUUGCUGUUAAGAUCUUUAGAUUUUUAACCAGAAAGCAUGACCAAUGAACGCAAGUUCUAUGAUUGCUGAUAAUGGAUAAAACGUUUAAAUGAUUUUAAUUAAGCAGUAACGUUAAAAAUUAAACACGAAGAACUUUUUAAGAUCUUUAAGACUUGAUCUCAAAUCAGACAAGACUACCCGCUGAACUUAAGCAUAUCAAUAAGCGGAGGAAAAGAAACUAACAAGGAUUCCCCUAGUAACGGCGAGUGAAGCGGGAAUAGCUCAAAUUUGAAAUCUCUUUGGUUCCCAAAGCGAAUUGUAGUUUAAAGAAGUGUUUUCGGGGGUAACUCAUGGUUAAGUUCCUUGGGAUAGGGCAUCAUAGAAGGUGAGAAUCCUGUAUGUGCUAUGAAGUUACUCCUAUGUGAUACACUUUCUAAGAGUCGGGUUGUUUGGGAAUGCAGCCCAAAAUUGGGGGGUGGUAAAUACCAUCUAAAGCUAAAUAUUGGCGAGAGACCGAUAGCGAACAAGUACCGUGAGGGAAAGAUGAAAAGAACUUUGAAAAGAGAGUUAAAAGUACGUGAAAUUGUCAAAAGGGAAACACUUGAAACCAGUCUUGCAGUUGGAAUCCCAACUGGUCUAACGAUCAGCAUAUGUUUCCAACUGCAGGUCAAUAUCAGUUUUGUUUGAAGCACAAAGCUUGAGGAAGGUGGCCCCUCUCGGGGGGUGUUAUAGCCUCAAGUAAUGCUUUGGACAGGACUGAGGAAUGCAGUGCAGUCUUGGGUACCCUGUCGCUGGUUGAUGCAUUUUUAUAGACAACUUGUUGAUUAUGAGAAUGAUAAGGCCAAUCGGCGGGUUUGCCACACCUGUGCUUAGGAUAUUGACAUAAUGGUUUUAAAUGACCCGUCUUGAAACACGGACCAAGGAGUCUAACACAUAUGCGAGUUUUUGGGUGGUAAACCCGGGAAGCGCAAUGAAAGUAAUAAGGUGGGAUUCGCAAGAUGCACCAUCGACCGGUCUGGAUAUUUUUUGAUAGAUCUGAGUAAGAGCAUAUGUGCUAGGACCCGAAAGAUGGUGAACUAUGCCUGAAUAGGGUGAAGCCAGAGGAAACUCUGGUGGAGGCUCGUAGCGAUUCUGACGUGCAAAUCGAUCGUCAAAUUUGGGUAUAGGGGCGAAAGACUAAUCGAACCAUCUAGUAGCUGGUUCCCUC